GUUGUGUUAUUCACGCCAGUGUGCCUUCGGCCAAAAGAUUCGUCAAUUUAACGGAUUCUCCAUCCUUUACGCACACAUUGUGGUGUUUAUGGAAAAUGCCUUUUCCAUCCCUUUUUAAUUAUCCGAUCAUUUUCGGAACCGAAGCCAGUCUAUGCUCUGUUGUGAUUGGCUGAACCUUUUUAUUAAAGUUUUAUUUUUGCCUUGUAAAAAAACAUGGCUGCAAUUAUAGUGAAAUGUAAAAUGUAAAUAUGUUCCUUGAGUAAAACUGUGAAACCAGUGGAACUACAGGAAACUACAAAUCAAUUUAUCAAGGAUUUUAUUUCUAUUUAUUUAUUUUCUGUAUAUUAUUGUAUAGUAUUGUUAAUAAAGAGUUAUAGUUUGAUUUGUGCUCGGUUAAUUUCAGUGUUCGAUAGUAAAAGUGCAAAAGUGUUUUUGUUUUUCGUUCAAAAUGAAGCGCUGUUGCGUGCCUAAGUGUAAAACAGCUAUUAAUUUACGUGCUGUACCAUAUACUGAUGUUACUAGAUGGAAGAAGAAGGACUUGAUCAUUGGAAAUCAGCAUGCUCAAUGGGCUUUCAUUGAACGGGCUUAUGCUACUGAUGGUGCAGGAGGACGUGCCAGAACCAUAGAUUUAAUGAUAAACAUAUAAACCCAAGUUCCUACGAUAAGAUGAAGGUCAUUUAUUAUGCUUCGGACGUCUUCAGUUACAGAGGUACACUGUACACCGCCUUUUACUUGGGAAAAUGAAGUCAUACGAAGAUCUUAGUUAUAGUGUUCCACAAUUAUGUUAACAUAACUCUCUUACAUACUUAUAACAUAAGCCUCUCUGGUUCAGUGGUUACCCUAUGUGGUCACGAGGUCCGGGGUUAUAUAAGAUACUGAGCUUUUCAUCUAAGAAAUUUUGACUUAUAAUUCUCAGUCCUUAGUUGGGAAUUUAGUGGUGUUACACCCUGUGCCUCAGAGUGCACGUUAACCUGUCCCGGACAAGGCCACGUCCUGUAAAUAAUGGAUAAAACGCAAAUGGUAGAUACGCCACCUAAUUCUACAAUUCUACGUUUUAUACUAAUUUACUACCCUCUAUAAGUGUACAAGUUUUUAAAAUAAUGGUUUUUUCGAUUCAAAAUUAGAUUUCAUCAUUUUUUACCGGACAAUGUGUUUUAAAUCGGGUCCUAAUGAAAGAAAAAUAAUUAUUACACAAAAAAUAGUCAAAUUAGUUAUAGAUAAUAAGGUGGUGUAUCUAUCAUAUUAGUCUGAUCUACAUGUGCUCUUUAGUAUAAAAAAAAAGUUCUCCAUCUCCUAUAAAAAUGGUUGAGGUGUCAUUCGAUUCGGAAUUGAAUAUACAUAGUUUUUGAAAAAUUUGAAGGCCCGCUCACUAAAAUUGCAAAAGUUAUAAAUAAUUCACUAAAAAUGAAAAAGGGGUUCAAGCAUUUUUAUAGGAGACAGAACUUUUUUUUACUAAAGAGCAGUGACCACAUUCCAUCCAGUUUAAAUGCGUUAUAACCAUCUGUCAUAUAUUUUGUGAAGUCAUAUAAUUUUGUAACUGUACAAUUUGGUAUUUUACUGCAUGGAAAUGUUUACAUUUUUAUUAAAGAAAUAAAUAAAA
Bicyclus anynana (squinting bush brown) is the source of this 1600-nucleotide long non-coding RNA. RefSeq lists it as uncharacterized. The transcript is spliced from 3 exons. NCBI's taxonomy places the organism in Eukaryota, Metazoa, Arthropoda, Insecta, Lepidoptera, Nymphalidae. The record is from RefSeq and is a predicted model, not a curated record.